GCCCCGGUGGCCGAGCGGUCAAAGGCAUAAGACUUAUGAUCUAAAUGGUGAAUCCCAAUCGCGGGUUCGAAUCUCGCCCGGGGCA
RNAcentral lists this transfer RNA (85 nucleotides) under Caenorhabditis remanei. It matches the Rfam family "tRNA". Rfam says of the family: Transfer RNA (tRNA) molecules are approximately 80 nucleotides in length. The record is from Rfam by way of RNAcentral. Lineage: Eukaryota; Metazoa; Nematoda; Chromadorea; Rhabditida; Rhabditidae.